RNAcentral lists this ribosomal RNA (855 nucleotides) under uncultured bacterium. Its description in RNAcentral is "bacterial SSU rRNA". It matches the Rfam family "Bacterial small subunit ribosomal RNA", at positions 57 to 910 of the family's 1533-position model. The record is from RNAcentral.
GCAAGUCGAACGAGAAAGUNACCUUCGGGUGCGAGUAGAGUGGCGCACGCGUUAGUAACACGUAGGUAAUCUACCUUUUGGUGGGGGAUAACCAGGAGAAAUCCUGGCUAAUACCGCAUGAGUUGGAAACAAGAAAGGAUGCUCCGGCAUUCGCCGAAAGAUGAGCCUGCGGGACAUUAGCUUGAUGGUGGGGUAAUGGCCUACCAUGGCUUCGAUGUCUAGCUGGUCUGAGAGGAUGAUCAGCCACACUGGAACUGAGACACGGUCCAGACUCCUACGGGAGGCAGCAGUGGGGAAUAUUGCGCAAUGGGGGAAACCCUGACGCAGCAACGCCGCGUGAGUGAGGAAGGCCCUCGGGUCGUAAAGCUCUGUCAGAUGGGAAGAAACUACAUUGGUCUAAUAGGCCUUUGUACUGACGGUACCAUCAAAGGAAGCACCGGCUAACUUCGUGCCAGCAGCCGCGGUAAUACGAAGGGUGCAAGCGUUAUCCGGAAUCACUGGGCGUAAAGCGUCUGUAGGUGGUUUGAUAAGUCAACUGUUAAAUCUUGAGGCUCAACCUCAAAAUCGCAGUCGAAACUAUUAGACUAGAGUAUAGUAGGGGUAAAGGGAAUUUCCAGUGGAGCGGUGAAAUGCGUAGAGAUUGGAAAGAACACCGAUGGCGAAGGCACUUUACUGGGCUAUUACUAACACUGAGAGACGAAAGCUAGGGUAGCAAAUGGGAUUAGAUACCCCAGUAGUCCUAGCUGUAAACAAUGGAUACUAGAUGUUGAACAGAUCGACCUGUGCAGUAUUAAAGCUAACGCGUUAAGUAUCCCGCCUGGGAAGUAUGCUCGCAAGAGUGAAACUCAAAGGAAU